ACUCAGUCUUUUUAUGUUCAACGUUUGACUAUCCGUCUUAUAUGAAUUUUUUUUAUGAUUAGUAUUUUCGUUGUUGUUAGAUGAUAAAACAUGAUUAAUAUUUUAUGUGUGACUUAUAUUUUUAAAUUUUUUCAUAAUUUUUUCAAAUAAGACGGAUGGUUAAACAUUAGACACGGAAACCCAG
Molecule: microRNA precursor, 184 nt
Filed under: Oryza sativa Japonica Group (Japanese rice)
Lineage: Eukaryota; Viridiplantae; Streptophyta; Magnoliopsida; Poales; Poaceae
Description: MIR812 microRNA precursor family
Rfam family: MIR812 microRNA precursor family
Source: Rfam by way of RNAcentral